This 66-nucleotide transfer RNA is filed under the name Kapsa arca. RNAcentral's name for it is "tRNA-Asn". Lineage: Eukaryota; Metazoa; Arthropoda; Insecta; Hemiptera; Cicadellidae. The record is from RNAcentral.
UUAAUUGAAACCAAAAUGAGGUAUUUUAUUGUUAAUAAAAAAAUUGAAUUUAAUAUUCCUAUUAAA